RNAcentral lists this long non-coding RNA (214 nucleotides) under Elaeis guineensis (African oil palm). Its description in RNAcentral is "long non-coding RNA (EGUI_LNC019620)". The record is from RNAcentral. Lineage: Eukaryota; Viridiplantae; Streptophyta; Magnoliopsida; Arecales; Arecaceae.
UGUUCAUUAAAGCAAAUAUUUUUAAUUGAUUAGCAGUAUAGAAGUUUUUCAAUUUAAAUAGAACCAUGGUACUGGAAUUGAGUCCGAAUAAAAGAUUGGAAUGGAUGGUAUUUCUCAAGCAAUCCAUCAAGAGCAUAUCCUAACAGACCAGUUGGGCUAACUAGUGAUCCACUUGUUGCAAGUUGAUCAGUGAUGGUUUUGAUUUGUUGCGAAU